AUUCUCUUGCAUUACACCUGGGGAACGAGACAGCACCGGGUCUCACCCUGGCAAGGCAUGAGGCUGUGUGCUGCCAGAACGACCAGCAGGGGGCGCAAAGGCCACUCCAGGCACCUGCUGGCCUCGGAGAAAACAGAAAGGAAAUCAGGAAGCCCACUCCUGCUGUCCUUUCUCUGCAAGGAAAUGUGGCAGGGCACUGCAGCCCAGACAGUCGGCAGUAGAGGACCCAUGAAGUAUCUUUGUGCAAAGAAAGCAGCAAAGAGAAUUGCAUCAUAUAAAGAGUGAAUUAAACCAUCUAAAGGAGCAAAAAGUCAUCAUCACAUGGACAAGAAAUUAAGACAUAACAUCCAUAUCACUAUUUGCAAAGUGGUUUAUUCCUACAGACAAUGCAGAUAUGUAAAAAGCAGCUGGAAUCCUAGGAGCAGAAGCCCAGCAUAAAGAUCUCUGAAAGCCUGGAUGCGUGGAUUCCUCUCUUAUUUCCCAAAACCAUGGGGUAGAAAUGUGAAUAUCAGCAUGCUGCACAGAUCUCUACAGAUGCCCAGGGAACUGAAUUUCUAGACGUUAUAAUCUAUGUUCUUUCCCAACCCCCGCUUCAGUUUACAUAUCGCAGGCCAUAGAUCCUGUUUGUUGAAAAGCCACCAGCUAGAAAACAAGAGUGGUUAUAACCUGUUCUGCCCAGUGAUCAGGAAAAGAGAGCGGAUGAAACUUCCAUGACUUUCUGUUAGUCUGAUUAAUAUCCAUGCCAAAUGUAAGAUAAGUUAAAAGGCCUUAUUGCUUCCCACCAAAAUGUUCCCUCACUAGCUAUAUACUACAUUGAAAUGUAAAGUUAUGGGUAUGUUUAAAAGUUUAAUUUGUCAACGGGCAUCCAACUCUUCUAUUUGUGUUUUUACUUUGAGCUUAGUUGGAGCAGACAAAUAGAGGUGACCUCUAACUGUUUUCCUUCUGAAGCCAUUUUCAGGGCAGAAGUGCUUUACCCACUUCAUUGAGAAACCACCUUUGCAUGCAGUACCCUGAGUUGUCUUCAGCACACCAAGCAUCCACAACAUGGGAAAUACUGUGCUUUAAAUGUUGCUUUAAUCACAGUGCUCAUGAGUAAGGGCAUGUCCUGUCUCUUAUCCAUGAAAAUACUCCCACAAAACGAAGUCACACCUAGUAUCUGUUAACGGAGAUAGUGAGUGGGUGAGGAAGACUCAUUCCCUAAUGCAAUUCAGGUCACACAGGGUAAAAAAGAAAAAACAAAUCCUUUUCUGUUGAGGAUACAGAUGGAAAGAAAAUGGAAAAUGCCUUUCAGAAUGCACAAGCCUAGUUUUCUAAUUGUGUUUCAGGGAACAUGCUGGUGAACUUACCUGUGUGGCUUGGUAUUGUGGGUUUUCAGCUUCUUCUCCACCAAAUCCUUUGAAAAGCAGCAGUGGCAGAAACAAAUAACCCAAUUAAAAACAAUAAUAGCAACAAUAAAAAAAGGAAAGAUAAAGAAGAAA
This 1478-nucleotide long non-coding RNA is filed under the name Pongo abelii (Sumatran orangutan). RNAcentral's name for it is "lincRNA". Lineage: Eukaryota; Metazoa; Chordata; Mammalia; Primates; Hominidae. The record is from RNAcentral.